RNAcentral lists this transfer RNA (75 nucleotides) under Candidatus Kaiserbacteria bacterium RIFCSPHIGHO2_01_FULL_48_10. RNAcentral describes it as "tRNA-Arg". It matches the Rfam family "tRNA". From Rfam's summary of the family: Transfer RNA (tRNA) molecules are approximately 80 nucleotides in length. Their secondary structure includes four short double-helical elements and three loops (D, anti-codon, and T loops). Lineage: Bacteria; Candidatus Kaiseribacteriota. The record is from RNAcentral.
GCUCCUGUCGUUCAACGGAUAGGAUGCCUCCCUCCGAAGGAGGCGAUGUAGGUUCGAUUCCUGCCAGGAGCACAA